RNAcentral lists this ribosomal RNA (478 nucleotides) under uncultured bacterium. RNAcentral's name for it is "partial 16S ribosomal RNA". It matches the Rfam family "Bacterial small subunit ribosomal RNA", at positions 28 to 523 of the family's 1533-position model. The record is from RNAcentral.
GACGAACGCUGGCGGCGUGCUUAACACAUGCAAGUCGAACGGUAAGGCCCUUCGGGGUACACGAGUGGCGAACGGGUGAGUAACACGUGGGUGAUCUGCCCUGCACUUCGGGAUAAGCCUGGGAAACUGGGUCUAAUACCGGAUAGGACCACUGCCUGCAUGGGUGGGGGUGGAAAGCUUUUGCGGUGUGGGAUGGGGCCGCGGCCUAACAGCUUGUUGGUGGGGGGAUGGCCUACCAAGGCGACGACGGGUAGCCGGCCUGGGGGGGUGACCGGCCACACUGGGCAUGAGAUACGGCCCAGACUCCUACGGGAGGCAGCAGUGGGGAAUAUUGCACAAUGGGCGCAAGCCUGAUGCAGCGACGCCGCGUGAGGGAUGACGGCCUUCGGGUUGUAAACCUCUUUCAGCACCGACGAAGCGCAAGUGACGGUAGGUGCAGAAGAAGGACCGUCCAACUACGUGCCAGCCGCCGCGGUAA